RNAcentral lists this ribosomal RNA (480 nucleotides) under Triticum aestivum (bread wheat). Its description in RNAcentral is "partial small subunit ribosomal RNA". Lineage: Eukaryota; Viridiplantae; Streptophyta; Magnoliopsida; Poales; Poaceae. The record is from RNAcentral.
AUGCAAGUAAAGGUUAGGAUGUCAGAUCCUCAGAGUUGGUUUAUGCUAGAAGCUUACACUUUGCUGGAGUUGAAGACAUCAAGAGAAAUUGGGAAUCUGUUGGUAAGGAAACAUUCUUUUUAUCUUUCACUAGACAACACCGCAAACGAGUACACUUUUUUGAUAUCUACCUUUUCUUGUUAUCAAUAUUGUUUUUUUAGACUUGUGAUGUUAAUCAGUCUCGUGUCGUUAAGAUCUAUAAGCAAUUGUCAAAUAAGAAUGAACAAAAAAUGCCUACACAUAUUACCUUGCUACCAAACAUAUGAAAAGGAAUAUAAAAAAUCCAUUUGGUUGUUUGUCUUGUGUGUUGGUUUUUUUCUCUCCAUAAAAUUGGUCGUCAAACAUGUGUGUCAAUCCAACAAAUAUAUGAAUUUGUGGUACCAUAAUAUUAAUAAAAUAUGUUGCUGCACAUCAAAAUGUCUGAAUCUGUUGAGUAAUUGA